UACAAUUGACUUCCAAUCAGUUAGCUCCAGAUCAACCUGGAAAGAAGUA
Molecule: transfer RNA, 49 nt
Filed under: Canis lupus (wolf)
Lineage: Eukaryota; Metazoa; Chordata; Mammalia; Carnivora; Canidae
Description: partial tRNA-Gly
Source: RNAcentral